GGGGUGGAUGGGUCCUGGUGGACCUCCUGGUCUUCAAAACCAGUCGCGGGGUGAGAAACCCUGGGUGGGUUCGAUUCCCACGCACUCCC
RNAcentral lists this transfer RNA (89 nucleotides) under marine sediment metagenome. Its description in RNAcentral is "Selenocysteine transfer RNA". It matches the Rfam family "Selenocysteine transfer RNA". RNAcentral also lists the same sequence under 1 other name. The record is from RNAcentral.